Molecule: long non-coding RNA, 172 nt
Organism: Priapulus caudatus
Lineage: Eukaryota; Metazoa; Priapulida; Priapulimorpha; Priapulimorphida; Priapulidae
Exons: 3
Source: RefSeq, a predicted model, not a curated record
UUGAUUCUAUCCAUUGGUGUCGCAUUUUAAUAUGUAACUAUUUUUUGACCAAGGAUCACGUACGUUUAUUUUAAAUUUAGUACAUAUUCUAAAAGACGGUUUUUAGUUGUAGUUGAGAUAAUUUCUACGAACCAAAACUUUUUUAAGUGAUAUCUAUAUGUCUCAUCAAUGG